Molecule: ribosomal RNA, 254 nt
Filed under: uncultured bacterium
Lineage: Bacteria
Description: partial 16S ribosomal RNA
Rfam family: Bacterial small subunit ribosomal RNA
Source: RNAcentral
CGAAGGGGCUAGCGUUGUUCGGAAUUACUGGGGCGUAAAGCGCACGUAGGCGGACAUUUAAGUCAGGGGUGAAAUCCCGGGGCUCAACCCCGGAACUGCCUUUGAUACUGGGUGUCUAGAGUAUGGAAGAGGUGAGUGGAAUUCCGAGUGUAGAGGUGAAAUUCGUAGAUAUUCGGAGGAACACCAGUGGCGAAGGCGGCUCACUGGUCCAUUACUGACGCUGAGGUGCGAAAGCGUGGGGAGCAAACAGGAUU